GUACACAAAAAUGCACAUACUGUGAGCUCGAUGAGUAGGGCGGGACACGUGGUAUCCUGUCUGAAUAUGGGGGGACCAUCCUCCAAGGCUAAAUACUCCUGACUGACCGAUAGUGAACCAGUACCGUGAGGGAAAGGCGAAAAGAACCCCGGCGAGGGGAGUGAAAAAGAACCUGAAACCGUGUACGUACAAGCAGUGGGAGCCUCUUAAUGGGGUGACUGCGUACCUUUUGUAUAAUGGGUCAGCGACUUAUAUUCUGUAGCAAGGUUAACCGAAUAGGGGAGCCGAAGGGAAACCGAGUCUUAACUGGGCGUUAAGUUGCAGGGUAUAGACCCGAAACCCGGUGAUCUAGCCAUGGGCAGGUUGAAGGUUGGGUAACACUAACUGGAGGACCGAACCGACUAAUGUUGAAAAAUUAGCGGAUGACUUGUGGCUGGGGGUGAAAGGCCAAUCAAACCGGGAGAUAGCUGGUUCUCCCCGAAAGCUAUUUAGGUAGCGCCUCGUGAAUUCAUCUCCGGGGGUAGAGCACUGUUUCGGCAAGGGGGUCAUCCCGACUUACCAACCCGAUGCAAACUGCGAAUACCGGAGAAUGUUAUCACGGGAGACACACGGCGGGUGCUAACGUCCGUCGUGAAGAGGGAAACAACCCAGACCGCCAGCUAAGGUCCCAAAGUCAUGGUUAAGUGGGAAACGAUGUGGGAAGGCCCAGACAGCCAGGAUGUUGGCUUAGAAGCAGCCAUCAUUUAAAGAAAGCGUAAUAGCUCACUGGUCGAGUCGGCCUGCGCGGAAGAUGUAACGGGGCUAAACCAUGCACCGAAGCUGCGGCAGCGACACUAUGUGUUGUUGGGUAGGGGAGCGUUCUGUAAGCCUGUGAAGGUGUACUGUGAGGUAUGCUGGAGGUAUCAGAAGUGCGAAUGCUGACAUAAGUAACGAUAAAGCGGGUGAAAAGCCCGCUCGCCGGAAGACCAAGGGUUCCUGUCCAACGUUAAUCGGGGCAGGGUGAGUCGACCCCUAAGGCGAGGCCGAAAGGCGUAGUCGAUGGGAAACAGGUUAAUAUUCCUGUACUUGGUGUUACUGCGAAGGGGGGACGGAGAAGGCUAUGUUGGCCGGGCGACGGUUGUCCCGGUUUAAGCGUGUAGGCUGGUUUUCCAGGCAAAUCCGGAAAACCAAGGCUGAGGCGUGAUGACGAGGCACUACGGUGCUGAAGCGACAAAUGCCCUGCUUCCAGGAAAAG
This 1234-nucleotide ribosomal RNA is filed under the name Escherichia coli. Its description in RNAcentral is "partial 23S ribosomal RNA". It matches the Rfam family "Bacterial large subunit ribosomal RNA", at positions 375 to 1617 of the family's 2925-position model. The record is from RNAcentral. Lineage: Bacteria; Pseudomonadati; Pseudomonadota; Gammaproteobacteria; Enterobacterales; Enterobacteriaceae.